Molecule: ribosomal RNA, 253 nt
Filed under: uncultured prokaryote
Description: partial 16S ribosomal RNA
Rfam family: Bacterial small subunit ribosomal RNA
Source: RNAcentral
UACGUAGGCAGCGAGCGUUGUUCGGAAUUACUGGGCGUAAAGGGUGUGUAGGCGGUCUUCUAAGUUUGGUGUGAAAUCUCCCGGCUUAACUGGGAGGGUGCGCCGAAAACUGGAAAGCUAGAGUACUGGAUGGGAGAGUGGAAUUCCUGGUGUAGCGGUGAAAUGCGUAGAUAUCAGGAGGAACACCUGUGGUGUAGACGGCUCUCUGGACAGUCACUGACGCUGAGACACGAAAGCGUGGGUAGCAAACAGG